UCUACGGGGGGCUGCAGUGGGGAAUAUUGGACAAUGGGCGAAAGCCUGAUCCAGCCAUGCCGCGUGUGUGAAGAAGGCCUUCGGGUUGUAAAGCACUUUCAGUGGGGAAGAAAGCCUUGGGGCUAAUACCCUCGAGGAAGGACAUCACCCACAGAAGAAGCACCGGCUAACUCCGUGCCAGCAGCCGCGGUAAUACGGAGGGUGCGAGCGUUAAUCGGAAUUACUGGGCGUAAAGCGCGCGUAGGCGGUCUGAUAAGCCGGUUGUGAAAGCCCCGGGCUCAACCUGGGAACGGCAUCCGGAACUGUCAGUCUAGAGUGCAGGAGAGGAAGGUAGAAUUCCCGGUGUAGCGGUGAAAUGCGUAGAGAUCGGGAGGAAUACCAGUGGCGAAGGCGGCCUUCUGGACUGACACUGACGCUGAGGUGCGAAAGCGUGGGUAGCAAACAGGAUUAGAUACCCGAGUAGUC
This 465-nucleotide ribosomal RNA is filed under the name Vreelandella stevensii. RNAcentral's name for it is "partial 16S ribosomal RNA". It matches the Rfam family "Bacterial small subunit ribosomal RNA", at positions 338 to 795 of the family's 1533-position model. The record is from RNAcentral. Lineage: Bacteria; Pseudomonadati; Pseudomonadota; Gammaproteobacteria; Oceanospirillales; Halomonadaceae.